Molecule: ribosomal RNA, 32 nt
Filed under: Deschampsia antarctica (Antarctic hairgrass)
Lineage: Eukaryota; Viridiplantae; Streptophyta; Magnoliopsida; Poales; Poaceae
Source: RNAcentral
GGAUGCGAUCAUACCAGCACUAAAGCACAGGA